CAGUAGCCGCGGGAAAACGUAGGGUGCGAGCGUUAAUCGGAAUUACUGGGCGUAAAGCGUGCGCAGGCGGUUUUGUAAGACAGGCGUGAAAUCCCCGGGCUCAACCUGGGAAUGGCGCUUGUGACUGCAAAGCUAGAGUGCGGCAGAGGGGGAUGGAAUUCCGCGUGUAGCAGUGAAAUGCGUAGAUAUGCGGAGGAACACCGAUGGCGAAGGCAAUCCCCUGGGCCUGCACUGACGCUCAUGCACGAAAGCGUGGGGAGCAAACAGGAUUAGAUACCCGAGUAGCUGUCUCUUAUACACA
RNAcentral lists this ribosomal RNA (301 nucleotides) under uncultured bacterium. RNAcentral's name for it is "partial 16S ribosomal RNA". It matches the Rfam family "Bacterial small subunit ribosomal RNA", at positions 509 to 808 of the family's 1533-position model. The record is from RNAcentral.